Molecule: non-coding RNA, 74 nt
Organism: Desulfobacula sp.
Lineage: Bacteria; Pseudomonadati; Thermodesulfobacteriota; Desulfobacteria; Desulfobacterales; Desulfobacteraceae
Source: Rfam
GCGCCCGUAGCUCAGCUGGAUAGAGCGUCGGACUUCGAAUCCGUAGGCCGGGGGUUCGAAUCCCUCCGGGCGCG